Molecule: RNA transcript, 2160 nt
Organism: Mercurialis annua (annual mercury)
Lineage: Eukaryota; Viridiplantae; Streptophyta; Magnoliopsida; Malpighiales; Euphorbiaceae
Exons: 2
Source: RefSeq, a predicted model, not a curated record
GUGCUUUACCCAAAUAAAAGAGCAGCAACCCGGUCGAAUUUGUUUUAACAAACAUAUGGUGGGCUUUUCUUAACAAAAAAAGAGAGGCAACGGCAUCGUUUUAGCCUUUUAGGUCGUCUUCUUCCCUUGGCUCUGCAGCCCUAUUUGAUACGGUAAUCUUUCUAGAAUCUUCUUUGUUCGUUGUUUGUUGCCUUGUGAGUUGCGAGUCCAAAUGGAUAAGUUGUAUACUACUGGUAAGCACAUUAUAUGGAUAGUGAAAUUUGAGUUCAUGGAAUAUGUUGAUACACUUGAAACAGCAUUUUGUUCUGGUUUUAGCAUAGAUGGUACUGGCCUCGUUAUGACCUGUGCUCAGCCUUUUCAAAAAUGUCAAGGUAAGCCCUCACUUGUCAUUUCUGCUCGUAGAUUAGAUGAAAAUGGUAUUUUUCAUGAAGCUGAGUUGGUAUAUCAAAAACCACAAUGGGAUGUUAUGCUUUUAAAGGUUAAAGGCAUUAGCGACACUACGUUUGGAAAACUUGUUGAUGAUGGUUCGCUAUAUGCUGGGCAGCCCGUGUUUAUGAUAAGUGCUGCUGGUGAACUUGUUGCGUCAUUUUUGCGAGGCAUGGUCGCUUUUCCAUGUUACCAUAAUGCAGAUCUUCCACCUGAUGAUGGUACAACUUGUGCUGAUAUUGUACCAAAUUCAUGGGAUAGCAUAACGAAGCAUAGAGUUAUGGGAGAUUUAUGCUCACUGGAUGGAUAUCGCGGAUUACCAAUUCACCCUUUACUUCCGAUAAUACAAAUUAAUAGCUCUAUCCAUGCAGGAAGCAGCCACGGUUGCCCCAUAUUUAAUUUGAUGGGGGAGAUUGUGGGAAUGAUUAUAGGUCUAUCUGAUGUUGUCAUUGGUAUACACGUUAGUGCUUUAAGGCAAGUUGUACAAGAGCUGGAAGAGAAGAAGAAUGUAAUCUCUAGCGCAACAGACCCAAAACCAUAAGGUACAGUGUGUUUUUUUUAUGUGAACGAUGCAACAUGCAUUAAUUAUGCAUUGCCCAUUUAUAGGUAGAUUCGAUGCAUUUGUGUUUGGUAGUGUGCUAGAGAUAAUAUUAUUGUUAGAGCCUCGCCUAACAUUGUGUGUUUUGAGUUGAAUUGAUUAUUUGACGAUACAGUUAGGAUCAAAGAUACCUUUCGAUUAAUAUUCAAAAUGUGGAUAAAACAUAAACAUCAUAAGACCAUGAGUACUAGUAUUUUAGAUAUAAUAGUUUAGAGAAAACCUAUUGAAAAGUAAAUGUGUUCAUGCUUCGUAUUCAUAUUUUUGAAUUGGAUGCAUCUGCAUCAAUGCAUCAAACCCAUGAAAAGGCUACAAGUCUGAAACGUUAAAAAUUGGACCAAUUUGUAUUUCAGAUGGUACCUCAAUUAGGUAGGCGUUUAAACUUAUUUUAUUUAUCACCUACAUGGUCCAAAUUUCUUAGAUUUGAGCUUGUAGUUGCAUUAAAAAAAAGUGUAUUACAGACGGUAAUGAAAAAUACUAUGUUUAAUGUUGAGGAAAUUAAGUUAUGUGAGUUUCAGAUUUUUGGGAUUGAUUGUUGGUUUUUUUUGUCACUAUCGUAUCUUUGUUCUUUUAUAAUGGCUUUGCUAAUUGCUUUUUCUGCAUAACUGAAUUUCAGUUUGCAUGAAAAUGUUUCAAAAUCUUACUUCCUCUGUAAGUGAUGUCUUGCACCUUGUUUCCAGCUUCAGUGGGCUUCAAGUUUAAACAUGUUCUUAUCUGCAUCUGAUAUUUACUCUCUUCUUCGAGCUGCAUUAACUUUGUAUUUUGGCUACAAAGGAUCACUCAGAGUUGUGUUUCAUUUGACAAUUUUUGCUGAAAAUGACUCAUUUGAUAUUUAAUGCCAAGCGGAGAGCUAGUGUUUGAAGUCGCAACGGCUAUGGAACUUGCAGCAUUUUAGGAGUAGUUCUUGCAUUUACUUGCUCUUUAUUUUGACAGUUAUGGGGUUUGCAACUUUUUUCUGCUUAACAAAUAUUUUGUCUAGUUAAUUAGAAACGUCAAAGUCUCUUUUUUGAUCACAUGUGCUGGUAUGUGAUGUAGCUUUCAUGUAUUCUGAAUGUUACUAGAUGGUAAAUGUGAUGAUAUAUUUAGGCACCUUCUUAUUUUUUGGGUUUAGUGUGGAAUGUACAUUUUGUUUUUGCCAA